GAAAUCCCCGGGUUUAACUUAGGAAAUGCAUUUCAGACUGGGGUGCUAGAGUACUUUAGGGAGGGGUAGAAUUCCACGUGUAGCGGUGAAAUGCGUAGAGAUGUGGAGGAAUACCGAAGGCGAAGGCAGCCCCUUGGGAAUGUACUGACGCUCAUGUGCGAAAGCGUGGGGAGCAAACAGGAUUAGAUACCCUGGUAGUCCACGCUGUAAACGCUGUCGAUUUGGGGAUUGGGCUUGAGCUUGGUGCCCGAAGCUAACGUGAUAAAUCGACCGCCUGGGGAGUACGGCCGCAAGGUUAAAACUCAAAUGAAUUGACGGGGGCCCGCACAAGCGGUGGAGCAUGUGGUUUAAUUCGAUGCAACGCGAAGAACCUUACCUACUCUUGACAUCCAUGGAAUCUUGUAGAGAUAUGAGAGUGCCUUCGGGAACCAUGAGACAGNUGCUGCAUGGCUGUCGUCAGCUCGUGUUGUGAAAUGUUGGGUUAAGUCCCGCAACGAGCGCAACCCUUAUCCUUUGUUGCCAGCGAUUAGGUCGGGAACUCAAAGGAGACUGCCGGUGAUAAACCGGAGGAAGGUGGGGAUGACGUC
This 587-nucleotide ribosomal RNA is filed under the name uncultured Haemophilus sp. RNAcentral describes it as "bacterial SSU rRNA". It matches the Rfam family "Bacterial small subunit ribosomal RNA", at positions 596 to 1186 of the family's 1533-position model. The record is from RNAcentral. Lineage: Bacteria; Pseudomonadati; Pseudomonadota; Gammaproteobacteria; Pasteurellales; Pasteurellaceae.